UAUAAGACUGGGAUAACUUCGGGAAACCGGAGCUAAUACCGGAUAACAUUUGGAACCGCAUGGUUCUAAAGUGAAAGAUGGUUUUGCUAUCACUUAUAGAUGGACCCGCGCCGUAUUAGCUAGUUGGUAAGGUAACGGCUUACCAAGGCGACGAUACGUAGCCGACCUGAGAGGGUGAUCGGCCACACUGGAACUGAGACACGGUCCAGACUCCUACGGGAGGCAGCAGUAGGGAAUCUUCCGCAAUGGGCGAAAGCCUGACGGAGCAACGCCGCGUGAGUGAUGAAGGGUUUCGGCUCGUAAAACUCUGUUAUUAGGGAAGAACAAAUGUGUAAGUAACUGUGCACGUCUUGACGGUACCUAAUCAGAAAGCCACGGCUAACUACGUGCCAGCAGCCGCGGUAAUACGUAGGUGGCAAGCGUUAUCCGGAAUUAUUGGGCGUAAAGCGCGCGUAGGCGGUUUCUUAAGUCUGAUGUGAAAGCCCACGGCUCAACCGUGGAGGGUCAUUGGAAACUGGGAAACUUGAGUGCAGAAGAGGAAAGUGGAAUUCCAUGUGUAGCGGUGAAAUGCGCAGAGAUAUGGAGGAACACCAGUGGCGAAGGCGACUUUCUGGUCUGUAACUGACGCUGAUGUGCGAAAGCGUGGGGAUCAAACAGGAUUAGAUACCCUGGUAGUCCACGCCGUAAACGAUGAGUGCUAAGUGUUAGGGGGUUUCCGCCCCUUAGUGCUGUAGCUACGCAUUAAGCACUCCGCCUGGGGAGUACGACCGCAAGGUUGAAACUCAAGC
This 788-nucleotide ribosomal RNA is filed under the name uncultured Staphylococcus sp. RNAcentral's name for it is "bacterial SSU rRNA". It matches the Rfam family "Bacterial small subunit ribosomal RNA", at positions 131 to 906 of the family's 1533-position model. Lineage: Bacteria; Bacillati; Bacillota; Bacilli; Caryophanales; Staphylococcaceae. The record is from RNAcentral.